RNAcentral lists this ribosomal RNA (460 nucleotides) under uncultured bacterium. RNAcentral describes it as "partial 16S ribosomal RNA". It matches the Rfam family "Bacterial small subunit ribosomal RNA", at positions 338 to 795 of the family's 1533-position model. The record is from RNAcentral.
CCUACGGGUGGCAGCAGUGAGGAAUAUUGGUCAAUGGACGAGAGUCUGAACCAGCCAAGUAGCGUGAAGGAUGACUGCCCUAUGGGUUGUAAACUUCUUUUAUAUGGGAAUAAAAUGUUCCACGUGUGGGAUUUUGUAUGUACCAUAUGAAUAAGGAUCGGCUAACUCCGUGCCAGCAGCCGCGGUAAUACGGAGGAUCCGAGCGUUAUCCGGAUUUAUUGGGUUUAAAGGGAGCGUAGGUGGAUUGUUAGGUCAGUUGUGAAAGUUUGCGGCUCAACCGUAAAAUUGCAGUUGAAACUGGCAGUCUUGAGUACAGUAGAGGUGGGCGGAAUUCGUGGUGUAGCGGUGAAAUGCUUAGAUAUCACGAAGAACUCCGAUUGCGAAGGCAGUUCACUGGACUGCAACUGACACUGAGGCUCGAAAGUGUGGGUAUCAAACAGGAUUAGAUACCCUAGUAGUC